Stegodyphus mimosarum is the source of this 71-nucleotide non-coding RNA. The record is from Rfam. Lineage: Eukaryota; Metazoa; Arthropoda; Arachnida; Araneae; Eresidae.
GCCUUCUUGGUGUAACGGUAGCACACUCGGCGCGUAUUCGAGAUGUCCAGCUUCGAGUCCCGGCGAGGGCA